Molecule: ribosomal RNA, 307 nt
Filed under: uncultured bacterium
Lineage: Bacteria
Description: bacterial SSU rRNA
Rfam family: Bacterial small subunit ribosomal RNA
Source: RNAcentral
UCCUGCGCAUGGUGGGUGUAGGUAAAGUUUUCGGUGGGGAUGUGCUCGCGGCCUAUCAGCUUGUUGGUGAGGUAAUGGCUCACCAAGGCUUCGACGGUAGCCGGCCUGAGAGGGUGACCGGUCACACUGGGACUGAGACACGGCCCAGACUCCUACGGGAGGCAGCAGUGGGGAAUAUUGGACAAUGGCGGAAGCCUGAUCCAGCAACGCCGCGUGAGGGAUGACGGCCUUCGGGUUGUAAACCUCUUUCAGUACUGACGAAGCGCAAGUGACGGUAGGUACAGAAGAAGCACCGGCCAACUACGUG